CAGUCGCCGCUGUAAUACGGAGGGUGCAAGCGUUAAUCGGAAUUACUGGGCGUAAAGCGCACGCAGGCGGUCUGUCAAGUCAGAUGUGAAAUCCCCGGGCUUAACCUGGGAACUGCAUUUGAAACUGGCAGGCUAGAGUCUUGUAGAGGGGGGUAGAAUUCCAGGUGUAGCGGUGAAAUGCGUAGAGAUCUGGAGGAAUACCGGUGGCGAAGGCGGCCCCCUGGACAAAGACUGACGCUCAGGUGCGAAAGCGUGGGGAGCAAACAGGAUUAGAUACCCCUGUAGUCCCUGUCUCUUAUAC
Molecule: ribosomal RNA, 301 nt
Filed under: uncultured bacterium
Lineage: Bacteria
Description: partial 16S ribosomal RNA
Rfam family: Bacterial small subunit ribosomal RNA
Source: RNAcentral